ACGGAGGGUGCGAGCGUUGUUCGGAAUCAUUGGGCGUAAAGGGCGUGUAGGUGGUCUGUUAAGUCAUGUGUGAAAGCCCCCAGCUCAACUGGGGAAGUGCGCAUGAAACUGACAGGCUAGAGUACCGAAGAGGAAGGUGGAAUUCCCGGUGUAGCGGUGAAAUGCGUAGAUAUGCGGCGGAACACCGAUGGCGAAGGCAGCCCCCUGGGCUGAGAUUGACGCUCAGGCACGAAAGCGUGGGGAGCAAACAGGA
RNAcentral lists this ribosomal RNA (253 nucleotides) under uncultured prokaryote. RNAcentral describes it as "partial 16S ribosomal RNA". It matches the Rfam family "Bacterial small subunit ribosomal RNA", at positions 525 to 777 of the family's 1533-position model. The record is from RNAcentral.